Molecule: transfer RNA, 78 nt
Filed under: Deltaproteobacteria bacterium
Lineage: Bacteria; Pseudomonadati; Myxococcota; Myxococcia
Description: tRNA-Arg
Rfam family: tRNA
About the family: Transfer RNA (tRNA) molecules are approximately 80 nucleotides in length.
Source: RNAcentral
UGCCCCCGUAGCUCAGCUGGACAGAGCACUCGAUUUCUAAUCGGGCGGUCGCAGGUUCGAUCCCUGCCGGGGGCACCC